This 508-nucleotide ribosomal RNA is filed under the name Colletotrichum gloeosporioides. RNAcentral describes it as "eukaryotic LSU rRNA". The stretch from base 187 to 340 matches the Rfam family "5.8S ribosomal RNA". Lineage: Eukaryota; Fungi; Ascomycota; Sordariomycetes; Glomerellales; Glomerellaceae. The record is from RNAcentral.
AGGGAGGAUCAUUACUGAGUUUACGCUCUACAACCCUUUGUGAACAUACCUAUAACUGUUGCUUCGGCGGGUAGGGUCUCCGCGACCCUCCCGGCCUCCCGCCUCCGGGCGGGUCGGCGCCCGCCGGAGGAUAACCAAACUCUGAUUUAACGACGUUUCUUCUGAGUGGUACAAGCAAAUAAUCAAAACUUUUAACAACGGAUCUCUUGGUUCUGGCAUCGAUGAAGAACGCAGCGAAAUGCGAUAAGUAAUGUGAAUUGCAGAAUUCAGUGAAUCAUCGAAUCUUUGAACGCACAUUGCGCCCGCCAGCAUUCUGGCGGGCAUGCCUGUUCGAGCGUCAUUUCAACCCUCAAGCUCUGCUUGGUGUUGGGGCCCUACAGCUGAUGUAGGCCCUCAAAGGUAGUGGCGGACCCUCUCGGAGCCUCCUUUGCGUAGUAACUUUACGUCUCGCACUGGGAUCCGGAGGGACUCUUGCCGUAAAACCCCCAAUUUUCCAAAGGUGACUCGC